This 605-nucleotide ribosomal RNA is filed under the name Colletotrichum gloeosporioides. Its description in RNAcentral is "eukaryotic LSU rRNA". The stretch from base 148 to 301 matches the Rfam family "5.8S ribosomal RNA". Lineage: Eukaryota; Fungi; Ascomycota; Sordariomycetes; Glomerellales; Glomerellaceae. The record is from RNAcentral.
GAACGGAGAUUACUCCCAACCCCUGUGAACAUACCAAUUGUUGCCUCGGCGGAUCAGCCCGCUCCCGGUAAAACGGGACGGCCCGCCAGAGGACCCCUAAACUCUGUUUCUAUAUGUAACUUCUGAGUAAAACCAUAAAUAAAUCAAAACUUUCAACAACGGAUCUCUUGGUUCUGGCAUCGAUGAAGAACGCAGCAAAAUGCGAUAAGUAAUGUGAAUUGCAGAAUUCAGUGAAUCAUCGAAUCUUUGAACGCACAUUGCGCCCGCCAGUAUUCUGGCGGGCAUGCCUGUUCGAGCGUCAUUUCAACCCUCAAGCCCCCGGGUUUGGUGUUGGGGAUCGGCGAGCCCUUGCGGCAAGCCGGCCCCGAAAUCUAGUGGCGGUCUCGCUGCAGCUUCCAUUGCGUAGUAGUAAAACCCUCGCAACUGGUACGCGGCGCGGCCAAGCCGUUAAACCCCCAACUUCUGAAUGUUGACCUCGGAUCAGGUAGGAAUACCCGCUGAACUUAAGCAUAUCAAUAACGCCGGAGAGAAGGAUCUUUUCCGAGUUUUACAACCUCCCAAACCCCUGGUGAAAAUACCCAAUUGGUUGGCCUCCGGGGGGAUCC